This 497-nucleotide ribosomal RNA is filed under the name uncultured bacterium. RNAcentral describes it as "partial 16S ribosomal RNA". It matches the Rfam family "Bacterial small subunit ribosomal RNA", at positions 28 to 507 of the family's 1533-position model. The record is from RNAcentral.
GAUGAACGCUGGCGGCGUGCCUAAUACAUGCAAGUCGAGCGAACAGACGAGGAGCUUGCUCCUCUGACGUUAGCGGCGGACGGGUGAGUAACACGUGGAUAACCUACCUAUAAGACUGGGAUAACUUCGGGAAACCGGAGCUAAUACCGGAUAAUAUAUUGAACCGCAUGGUUCAAUAGUGAAAGACGGUUUUGCUGUCACUUAUAGAUGGAUCCGCGCCGCAUUAGCUAGUUGGUAAGGUAACGGCUUACCAAGGCAACGAUGCGUAGCCGACCUGAGAGGGUGAUAGGCCACACUGGAGCUGAGACACGGUCCAGACUCCUACGGGAGGCAGCAGUAGGGAAUCUUCCGCAAUGGGCGAAAGCAUGACGGAGCAACGCCGCGUGAGUGAUGGAGGUCUUCGGAUCGUAAAACUCUGUUAUUAGGGAAGAACAAAUGUGGAAGUAACUAUGCACGUCUUGACGGUACCGAAUCAGAAAGCCACGGCUAACUACGUG